RNAcentral lists this ribosomal RNA (1387 nucleotides) under uncultured bacterium. RNAcentral's name for it is "bacterial SSU rRNA". It matches the Rfam family "Bacterial small subunit ribosomal RNA", at positions 28 to 1381 of the family's 1533-position model. The record is from RNAcentral.
GACGAACGCUGGCGGCGUGCUUAACACAUGCAAGUCGAACGGAGAAGGCCCCUGCUUUUGUGGGGCCCGAAUGACUGGCGAACGAGUGACAUAACGCGUGACCAGCCCGCCCCCUUCUUCUGGAUAACCGCAUGAGAGUGUGACUAAUAAUGGAUAUUCCGGGCCUGCUGCGUGGUGGGUGAGGGAAAGAUUGUGCCUUAGGGAGUCUUCGGUGAGCGAUGGGCUCGCGGCCUAUCGGCUUGCUGGUGGUGUGAUGGCCUACCAACGUGAUGACGGGAACCCCGCCUGAGAGAGUGAAAUGCCACCCUGACACUGACACACGGCCCAAACUCCUACUGUAGGCAACAGUGCGGAAUACUGAUCCAUGGGCGCCACCCUGAUGCAGACACCCCUCGUGAUGGAUGGAGGCCUCCCCUGUGAGAACCUCUUUCUGCCGUGAAUCAGGCCUGACCCUUCUGCGAGCGGGUUGACAGCAGCUGGAUAAAAACCUCCGGCUAAAUACUUGCCAGCAUCCACUGUAAUACAUAGGGCGCGAGCGUUGUCAUGAAUUAUUAAGCGUAAACAUCUCGCAUGCCGCUGGUCGCGCUCUGUCAUGAAAUCCUCUGGCUUAACUGGGGGCGUGCUGUGGGUACGGGCCGGCUUGAGUGCGGUAGGGGAGACUGGAACUCCUGGUGUAGCGGUGGAAUGCGCAGAUAUCAGGAAGAACACCGGUGGCGAAGGCGGGUCUCUGGGCCGUUACUGACGCUGAGGAGCGAAAGCGUGGGGAGCGAACAGGAUUAGAUACCCUGGUAGUCCACGCCGUAAACGUUGGGCACUAGGUGUGGGGGGCCUUUUCCGGGUCUUCCGCGCCGUAUCUAACGCAUUAAGUGCCCCGCCUGGGGAGUACGGCCGCAAGGCUAAAACUCAAAGGAAUUGACGGGGGCCCGCACAAGCGGCGGAGCAUGCGGAUUAAUUCGAUGCAACGCGAAGAACCUUACCAAGGCUUGACAUGUGCCGGUCGGCUCCGGAGACGGGGUUUCCUCCUUGUGGGGCCGGUUCACAGGUGGUGCAUGGUUGUCGUCAGCUCGUGUCGUGAGAUGUUGGGUUAAGUCCCGCAACGAGCGCAACCCUUGUCCCGUGUUGCCAGUACGUUGUGGUGGGGACUCGCGGGAGACUGCCGGGGUCAACUCGGAGGAAGGUGGGGAUGACGUCAAAUCAUCAUGCCCCUUAUGUCUUGGGCUUCACGCAUGCUACAAUGGCCGGUACAGAGGGCUGCGAUCCCGUGAGGUGGAGCGAAUCCCUUAAAGCCGGUCUCAGUUCGGAUCGGGGUCUGCAACUCGACACCGUGAAGUUGGAGUCGCUAGUAAUCGCAGAUCAGCAACGCUGCGGUGAAUACGUUCUCGGGCCU